RNAcentral lists this ribosomal RNA (2645 nucleotides) under Microgenomates group bacterium GW2011_GWA1_46_7. RNAcentral describes it as "bacterial LSU rRNA". It matches the Rfam family "Bacterial large subunit ribosomal RNA", at positions 1 to 2230 of the family's 2925-position model. The record is from RNAcentral.
AAUAAAGCAUAUGGUGGAUGCCUUGGCAUAAUGUGCCGAAGAAGGACGUAAUAAGCCGCGAUAGUCGUCGGUGAGGAGCUAAUAUCCUUUGACCCGGCGGUGUCCGAAUGGGGUAACCCCGGUUCGUGUAAACGGACUGGACCGAGAGAUUUAUCUUUCGGUCGGUAACCCGGAGAACUGAAACAUCUAAGUACCCGGAGGAAAAGAAAUCGAAUGAGAUUUCCUUAGUAGCGGUGAGCGAAAAGGAAAUAGCCUAAACCCAUAUUUAUAUGGGUGUUGCAGGACCAGAUAUAUGAUGUUGUUUCGAUAGAAGAACACCGUGGAAUAGGUGGCCAUAGAGAGUGACAGCCUCGUAAUCGAAAUUGAAGCAACAUUAAUUUGGCACCUAAGUACGUUGGGAGACGGCAAACUCCCUGCGGAAUCCGCCCCGACCACGGGGCAAGGCUAAAUACACAUUAUGACCGAUAGUGAACGAGUACCGUGAGGGAAAGGUGAAAAGAUGGGUGAGACACCCAGUGAAAUAGUACCUGAAACCGUAUGCUAACAAACAGACAGAGCUUCGAUUUAUCGGAGUAAUGUAUCGUCACGGAGGCGUAGUGAAAGCGAGGAUGAAUAGUCCGUUUAGCAGUGCGUCCAAGACCCGAAACCGGUGUGAGCUAACCAUGAGCAGGGUGAACUGUGAGUAAAAUCACAGGAAGGCCCGAACCAGUAACUGCUGCAAAAGUUUUGGAUGACUUGUGGUUAGGGGUAAUAUGCCAAUCGAACCCGGAGAUAGCUGGUUCUCCCCGAAAUAUAUUUAGGUAUAGCCUUGAGUAAUUGCAUGCGUGGGGGUAGAGCACUGAAAAGGUAUAGUGAAGCAAUUCAUUGUACUUUAUCAAACUCCGAAUACCAUGUAUGUUUAUCUCAGGAGUCAGUCCUUGGGAGCUAAGUUCCAGGGGCAAAAGGGAAACAACCCAGAUCGUCAAUUAAGGUCUCAAAAUCAUAGCUAAGUGGCUCAAGGAAGUCAUAAUCCAUAUACAGCUAGGAGGUCGGCUCAGAAGCAGCCAUCCUUGAAAGAAAGCGUAACAGCUCACUAGUCUCGGAUUGUGGCGCCGAAGAUCCAACGAGGCUCAAGCUAUGUACCGAAAUUACGGAUUGUCACACAUUUAUGUGUGAUUCUGGUAGCGUGGGGUUAGGCGGCCCUAAGGUGAGGCUGGUGUAAUGCCGGCGUAGCCGAUGGAUUACCGGUUGAUAUUCCGGUUCUCUAGGGCGUUCGUUAUCAGCUUGGGGAGGGACGGUUUAGGAAGAGCGGGGCGCAUUACAUGAAUUUGCGUCCAAUCGCUGAGGCAGUUGGCUAUAGGAAAAUCCGUAGCCGGCGUUACAACCCGAGGUGUUAUGGGGAAUGUGGACCUUGUGUCCGCGUGACUCCGCAACCUUUCUGAAUCCAAGAAAAUCUUCAUGAGCGAGAAUGUUUUAGAUCCGUACCGCAAACCGACACAGGUGAACUGGUAGAGUAUACCAAGGUGAGCGAGAGAACCUUCCUUAAGGAACUCGGCAAAUUAGCUAGGCGUAACUUAGGGAGAUGCCUAACCUGUUUUUUUGGUACUUGUAUCAAAAAAAUGGGUCGCAGAUAAAGACUAUGAGGUGACUGUUUAACAAAAACACAGGUCUGUGCGAAGACGUAAGUCAACGUAUACGGGCUGAGGCCUGCCCAGUGCCAGAAGGUUAACUGAGAGGGUAACCCCGACUUGUUCGGGAUAGCCUUUGAUUGAAGCCCUGGUGAACGGCAGCAGUAACUAUAACUGUUCUAUGGUUAAGGAUAUACAAAUCGUUGCCAUAGUGAGGUAGUCAAACCUCUCUGAUCAGUGCAGAAAAUAAUGAUCAGAAAAACUUUGCUAUAUGCUGGAAGAGCUGAGAAUCUUCUGCUACUAUGAGUGUAAUGACACAUAGUGACAAUGCAAGAAGUGCAGCAAACCAGCAGGAAAGACUCAAUCCAUGGUGGAUUGUCGGUUUUGUAGAUGGUGAAGGUUGUUUCUCUGUGAGUACGUUCAAAAACGAUACGUGCUCAAGUGGUUAUCAAACUCUUUUUGAGUUUGUCAUCACUCAGGGAGAAAAGAGCCGUUCCUCACUCGAACAAAUCGAAAGAUUUUUUCAGUGCGGGCACAUUUACAUUAAUCAUCGACAUGAUAAUCACCAUGAAAAUAUAUUGCGAUAUUGUGUGAGGCGGCAAACUGAUCUCAAAAAGAUCAUAAUUCCGUUUUUUACUAAAUAUCAGCUUUAUACAACUAAACGUCAGCAAUUUGAAAAUUUCUGUCGCAAGUUGAACGAAAGAGUAUCCCCAGAGACUAUACGCAAAGCAUCGCGAAAGCGUAAAGAUAUAGUCCGAUCUCAUGAGCGAUCAUGAGUCAACAAUUUAGAGCGAAAUUCCUUGUCGGGCAAGUUCCGACCUGCACGAAUGGCGUAACAAUCUCAUGACUGUCUUGAGGAGGGACUCGGCGAAAUUGAAAUGGCUGUGAAGAUGCGGCCUACUGGUAACAGGACAAAAAGACCCCGUGGAGCUUUACUGUACCUUGACACUGAAAUUUAUGUUUUGACUGUGUAGCGUAGGUGGGAGGCGCAAGCCGAUCAUGUAACACCACUCUUUGAAACGUGAGUUUCUCACUUAU